UUGAGCCAGGAACUGUGAUUCCUGUGCUCUGUUGAGGGCUAGCUCUUCAGAGAAGAAACCUCUCAGAGACUGAGUAAGCAGGGCAGAAGAGGGAUGGAGAUGGGUAAAAAUAGAAUCCAAAGUGAAGUCUAGUCUUGGCCCCAUCCAGGGGUGCAGUGGGAUAGUGGGGCUUGGGUCAUGGAGUGUGAAAUUGCUCUGGGGAGUGGUCCUUCUUAGAGAGCGGCUGGCUGGAGUUUUUAUCACCAAAACCAAACUGCUGGGAGCAUUCUGAUGCCUGGGACUGUUCCUGCCUCACCCUGCUGAUCUUAAAAAGACUAUGAUGGGACCUUAUCAGUGAUUCUGCUAAACUGGUCCAAAUCAUGAGUAUCACAUAUAUACUCCCCCGUUUCUCUUCUUCCUUCAACCUUCACUAUAACCCCACUUCCUUUCUCUGACAUGUCACUGUGGAGUUGGCAGGGGGAUUAAUUGGAAAGUUGACAAAUAUAAUACAAUAAAUAGGGAAUAUUCAAACUUUGAAACAAAUGA
Mustela lutreola (European mink) is the source of this 525-nucleotide long non-coding RNA. RefSeq lists it as uncharacterized. Lineage: Eukaryota; Metazoa; Chordata; Mammalia; Carnivora; Mustelidae. The record is from RefSeq and is a predicted model, not a curated record. The transcript has 2 exons.